RNAcentral lists this ribosomal RNA (253 nucleotides) under uncultured bacterium. RNAcentral's name for it is "partial 16S ribosomal RNA". It matches the Rfam family "Bacterial small subunit ribosomal RNA", at positions 524 to 776 of the family's 1533-position model. The record is from RNAcentral.
UACGUAGGGUGCAAGCGUUAAUCGGAAUUACUGGGCGUAAAGCGUGCGCAGGCGGUUAUGUAAGGCAGAUGUGAAAUGCCCGGGCUUAACCUGGGAACUGCAUUUGUGACUGCAUGGCUAGAGUGUGUCAGAGGGGGGUAGAAUUCCACGUGUAGCAGUGAAAUGCGUAGAUAUGUGGAGGAACACCGAUGGCGAAGGCAGCCCCCUGGGAUAACACUGACGCUCAUGCACGAAAGCGUGGGGAGCAAACAGG